UGCAGUCGAGCGAGCAGAACCAGCAGAUUUACUUCGGUAAUGACGCUGGGGACGCGAGCGGCGGAUGGGUGAGUAACACGUGGGGAACCUGCCCCAUAGUCUGGGAUACCACUUGGAAACAGGUGCUAAUACCGGAUAAGAAAGCAGAUCGCAUGAUCAGCUUAUAAAAGACGGCGUAAGCUGUCGCUAUGGGAUGGCCCCGCGGUGCAUUAGCUAGUUGGCAAGGUAACGGCUUACCAAGGCAAUGAUGCAUAGCCGAGUUGAGAGACUGAUCGGCCACAUUGGGACUGAGACACGGCCCAAACUCCUACGGGAGGCAGCAGUAGGGAAUCUUCCACAAUGGACGCAAGUCUGAUGGAGCAACGCCGCGUGAGUGAAGAAGGUUUUCGGAUCGUAAAGCUCUGUUGUUGGUGAAGAAGGAUAGAGGUAGUAACUGGCCUUUAUUUGACGGUAAUCAACCAGAAAGUCACGGCUAACUACGUGCCAGCAGCCGCGGUAAUACGUAGGUGGCAAGCGUUGUCCGGAUUUAUUGGGCGUAAAGCGAGCGCAGGCGGAAGAAUAAGUCUGAUGUGAAAGCCCUCGGCUUAACCGAGGAACUGCAUCGGAAACUGUUUUUCUUGAGUGCAGAAGAGGAGAGUGGAACUCCAUGUGUAGCGGUGGAAUGCGUAGAUAUAUGGAAGAACACCAGUGGCGAAGGCGACUCUCUGGUCUGCAACUGACGCUGAGGCUCGAAAGCAUGGGUAGCGAACAGGAUUAGAUACCCUGGUAGUCCAUGCCGUAAACGAUGAGUGCUAAGUGUUGGGAGGUUUCCGCCUCUCAGUGCUGCAGCUAACGCAUUAAGCACUCCGCCUGGGGAGUACGACCGCAAGGUUGAAACUCAAAGGAAUUGACGGGGGCCCGCACAAGCGGUGGAGCAUGUGGGUUUAAUUCGAAGCAACGCGAAGAACCCUUACCAGGGUCUUGACAUCUAGUGCCAUCCUAAGAGAUU
Molecule: ribosomal RNA, 988 nt
Filed under: Lactobacillus helveticus
Lineage: Bacteria; Bacillati; Bacillota; Bacilli; Lactobacillales; Lactobacillaceae
Description: bacterial SSU rRNA
Rfam family: Bacterial small subunit ribosomal RNA
Source: RNAcentral